Molecule: long non-coding RNA, 401 nt
Filed under: Ananas comosus (pineapple)
Lineage: Eukaryota; Viridiplantae; Streptophyta; Magnoliopsida; Poales; Bromeliaceae
Description: long non-coding RNA (ACOM_LNC040619)
Source: RNAcentral
AUACCACCCAUGUGGUUUCGCAUUUUUUUUAUUUUUGUACCCUAUGGUUUAAAGUGUAUCAAUUUAGUACUCUGUAUUUUUAUUUUUUUCUUUUUAUUAUCUCUUUCAUUAAUUUUUUUCGUUAAGUCAAUGACAAAGUUAAAAUUAAAAGAUACUAAAAUGAAUAUUUGAUAAACUUAGGUGGAAUAUAUGAAGUUUUUUGUAUAUAAUUUAAUGAAAUAUUAACGGAGGAGCCAACGAAAAGAAAAAAAUAAAAUCAUAGGAUACUAAAUUAAUACACUUUAAACUAUAGGAUCCUAAAGUGAAAGAGUACGAAACCACAUGAGUGGAAUUUGAAGUUUAUCUUAUUUUUAAAGGAUAGAUGUAAGGUAGAUUUGUGCUAAGGGAUAUAUAGGCUAUUG